GCUCAGUGAGUUUACAUGUUAGAGGGAGUGGGGUAUAGUGACACAGUAACAGAGGGAUUGAGGGCCCUGCUCAGUGAGUUUACAUGUUAGAGGGAGUAGGGUAUAGUGACACAGUAACAGAGGGAUUGAGGGCCCUGCUCAGUGAGUUUACAUGUUAGAGGGAGUGGGGUAUAGUGACACAGUAACAGAGGGAUUGAGGGC
Non-coding RNA from Pelobates cultripes (western spadefoot toad), 201 nucleotides. NCBI's taxonomy places the organism in Eukaryota, Metazoa, Chordata, Amphibia, Anura, Pelobatidae. The record is from the annotation of a GenBank genome assembly.